CCUACGGGAGGCAGCAGUGGGGAAUAUUGGACAAUGGGCGAAAGCCUGAUCCAGCAAUUCCGCGUGUGUGAAGAAGGCCUUCGGGUUGUAAAGCACUUUAGUGGGGGAAGAAACAGCUUGGCCACACCAAGCCUUGACGGUACCCCAAGAAUAAGCACCGGCUAACUCUGUGCCAGCAGCCGCGGUAAUACAGAGGGUGCAAGCGUUAAUCGGAUUUACUGGGCGUAAAGGGUGCGUAGGUGGCUAUUUAAGUCGGAUGUGAAAGCCCGGGGCUCAACCUCGGAAUUGCAUUCGAUACUGAGUGGCUAGAGUUCGGUAGAGGGCGGCGGAAUUUCCGGUGUAGCGGUGAAAUGCGUAGAUAUCGGAAGGAACAUCAAUGGCGAAGGCAGCCGCCUGGGCCUGGACUGACACUGAGGCACGAAAGCGUGGGUAGCAAACAGGAUUAGAUACCCUGGUAGUCCACGCCGUAAACGAUGAGAACUUGACGUUGGUUCGUUUUACGAAUCGGUGUCGCAGCUAACGCGAUAAGUUCUCCGCCUGGGGAUACGGCCGCAAGGUUGAAACUCAAAUGAAUUGACGG
This 580-nucleotide ribosomal RNA is filed under the name uncultured bacterium. Its description in RNAcentral is "bacterial SSU rRNA". It matches the Rfam family "Bacterial small subunit ribosomal RNA", at positions 338 to 916 of the family's 1533-position model. The record is from RNAcentral.